This 780-nucleotide ribosomal RNA is filed under the name uncultured Neocallimastigales. RNAcentral's name for it is "partial large subunit ribosomal RNA". It matches the Rfam family "Eukaryotic large subunit ribosomal RNA", at positions 18 to 625 of the family's 3401-position model. The record is from RNAcentral. Lineage: Eukaryota; Fungi; Neocallimastigomycota; Neocallimastigomycetes; Neocallimastigales.
UCAGACGAUGCGUCAUGCAUAUCAAUAAGCGGAGGAAAAGAAAGCUAACAAGGAUUCCCUUAGUAACGGCGAGUGAAGCGGGAAGAGCUCAAAUUUGAAAUCUUCAAGGGUUCUACCUUUACGAAUUGUAGUUUAAAGAAGUGUUUUCUGUUAGAGUUUCGGUAAAAGUUCUUCGGAAUAGGACAUCAUAGAGGGCUGAGAAUCCCGUAUUUGACCAGUUAUUUCUAGCUUUGUGAUACACUUUCAAAGAGUCGGAUUGUUUGGGAAUGCAGUCCAAAAUGGGUGGUAAAUUUCAUCUAAAGCUAAAUAUUGGCGAGAGACCGAUAGCGAACAAGUACCGUGAGGGAAAGAUGAAAAGAACUUUGAAAAGAGAGUUAAACAGUACGUGAAAUUGUCAAAAGGGAAGCGUUUGACACCAGUGUUGUUUUCUCGAAAAUCAAUUAAAAAAGGCAGGAUUUUGUGUUGUAUUGACUUUAUCAGCUUUCUGCACUCUUUUCUUGUCUUUUUUUAAUGCACUUUUCGUUUAACAAGUCAACAUCAAUUUCUUUUGUUGUAAAAGGGUCAUUGGAAGGUGGCUUUCUUUUCGGAGAAAGUGUUUAUAGCCUUUGGCCUCUGCAAUCGGAGAGACUGAGGUCUGCAGCGUAGAUCCUUCGGGGUUAGAUACAUUUGUGCUAAGUUAUAGUAUUUUAUAGACAACUUGUUGACUAUGAUUAGUCAUUGUAGCUUACUCGCUUAUGCUAUUUUACCUACGCUUAGGAUGUUGAUCUACAGAGCGAGAGU